Molecule: ribosomal RNA, 443 nt
Filed under: uncultured bacterium
Lineage: Bacteria
Description: partial 16S ribosomal RNA
Rfam family: Bacterial small subunit ribosomal RNA
Source: RNAcentral
CCUACGGGACGCAGCAGUGGGGAAUAUUGGGCAAUGGGCGCAAGCCUGACCCAGCAACGCCGCGUGAAGGAAGAAGGCCCUCGGGUUGUAAACUUCUUUUGUCAGGGACGAAGAAAGUGACGGUACCUGACUAAUAAGCCACGGCUAACUACGUUCCAGCAGCCGCGGUAAUACGUAGGUGGCAAGCGUUAUCCGGAUUUACUGGUUGUAAAGGGCGAGGAGGCGGGACUGCAAGUCAGAUGUGAAAUUCCAGGGCUUAACCCUGGAACUGCAUUUGAAACUGUAGUGCUUGAGUGAUGGAGAGGCAGGCGGAAUUCCGUGUGUAGCGGUGAAAUGCGUAGAUAUACGGAGGAACACCAGUGGCGAAGGCGGCCUGCUGGACAGUAACUGACGCUGAGGCGCGAAAGCGUGGGGAGCAAACAGGAUUAGAUAUCCUUGUAGUC